CGUUCCUCCAGUCAUUGCCCAAUGCGAUUCCUAUCGCUAAUAUCUCUGGCUGAUCCAGCUCUCGUCUCGGAAAUCUGGGCUGCAUCUCUAGCCCAAAGUGGCCUCCUAUUCUUGUGUCCUCCUUCAUCUGUGCUGAUCUGAGACAAGGUCUUCCUAAGGUAGACUAGACAAUGUCCACGAUGGUGUACCCGAGGGAAGAGAAGCUGGAGAAGCUGUCCCAGGAAGAGAUAAUCUCCAACACCAAGCUGGUGAUCCAGGGCCUGGAGGCGCUGAAGAACGAGCACAACUCCAUCCUGCACAGCCUGCUGGAGACCAUCAAGUGCCUGAAGAAAGAUGAGGAGGCCAACCUGGUGCACGAGAAGUCCAGCCUGCUGCGCAAGUCUGUGGAGAUGAUCGAGCUGGGCCUGGGAGAAGCACAUGUGAUGAUGGCCCUGUCCAACCAUCUGAACGCGGUGGAGUCUGAGAAGCAGAAGCUGCGAGCCCAGGUGCGUCGGCUAUGCCAGGAGAACCAGUGGCUGAGGGACGAGCUGGCCAACACCCAGCAGAAGCUGCAGAAGAGCGAGCAGAGCGUGGCUCAGCUGGAGGAGGAGAAGAAGCACCUGGAGUUCAUGAACCAGCUCAAGAAGUACGACGAGGACGUCUCUCCCACUCAGGAGGAGAAGGACGGCGAGCCCCCCAAGGACUCUCUGGAUGAUCUCUUCCCCAACAAUGAAGAGGAGCAAGGCCAAGGCAUGCAGCACCAGCACAAUAGUGCGGCGGUGGCUGCAGCCCAGCAGGGAGGCUAUGAGAUCCCAGCCCGCCUGAGGACCCUCCACAACCUGGUGAUCCAGUAUGCCUCGCAGGGCCGCUACGAGGUGGCCGUGCCCCUCUGCAAACAGGCCCUGGAGGACCUGGAGAAGACCUCCGGACAUGACCACCCUGACGUGGCCACCAUGCUCAACAUCCUGGCCCUGGUCUACAGGGAUCAGAACAAAUACAAAGAGGCCGCCCAUCUGCUCAACGAUGCUCUGUCCAUCCGGGAGAAGACUCUCGGUAAAGACCACCCCGCUGUUGCCGCCACCCUCAACAACCUGGCCGUGCUCUAUGGGAAGAGGGGCAAGUACAAGGAGGCCGAGCCAUUAUGCAAGAGAGCCCUGGAGAUAAGAGAAAAGGUACUGGGCAAGGAUCACCCAGAUGUGGCCAAGCAGCUGAACAACCUGGCCCUGCUGUGUCAGAACCAGGGCAAGUAUGAAGAGGUAGAGUACUACUACUGCCGCGCCCUGGAGAUCUAUGAGUGCAGACUUGGUCCCGACGACCCCAACGUGGCAAAGACAAAGAACAACCUGGCAUCCUGCUUUCUCAAACAGGGCAAAUACAAGGAGGCUGAGAUUCUGUACAAAGAGAUUCUGACCCGUGCCCACGAGAAAGAAUUUGGAUCUGUCGAUGCUGAGAACAAACCCAUCUGGAUGCACGCGGAAGAGAGGGAGGAGAUGAGCAAGGGCAAGCACAGAGACAACACCCCGUACGGCGAGUGUGGAGGCUGGUAUAGGGCCUGCAAAGUCAACAGCCCUACAGUGAACACCACUCUGAGAAACCUGGGGGCUCUGUACCGCCGACAGGGCAAGCUGGAGGCCGCAGAGACCCUGGAGGAGUGUGCCAUGAGGUCCCGCAAGCAGAGCAACACGGGCAUAGACCCCAUCCACCAGAUGCGUGUGGUGGAGAUCUUAAAUGAUGGCGAGGGGGACAGGGAGAGGCGGAGGAGCAGGGACAGCCUGUCCAGCGUCAAGUACGAGAGCGGCUCCGAGACCGGCGAGGAAGUGAGUAUGGGCGUAGAGUGGAACGGGGUGAGUACAAAUCCACAACUUAUUCAGUCCCCUAAACUCCAGUGGCCUUAGUGAUGGAUAGAGCAGUCAUACAGAGUACACUGCUGAGCUAAUGGUCUGGUACAGUAGUACACCCGCAGCCCUAAUCCUAAACACUGUGCACACAGUGGUUGUGUACCAAUUCUCCACACUUUUUCCGAAGUGGGUACUUGCAAACCUGUACAUGGAUUUCAAAGGAUUGUUGUGAAAGCAUUAGCUGGAGGGAGUUGUCACCAUUGUUAAAUCCAUGAGAGGUGGGGUACUCACACCCGAAGUGCACAUUUCGGGUGAUGCAUGAAAAAUUGGGAUGCUAACACAGUCAUCAGUACUAAAGUAUGUGUGCAAGGAAAUUAAGGCUGUUCACUCCUGGAUCUGGAGAUGCAUCUAUAAGAAAUUGGAUUCCAGGUAUCUAUACUGUAUCAGUCCACCAGCUCUAUGUAUUAGUGCCCUGUCGUCACUAAAGUGUCACCUGGAAAUACCUUUUGAAAAGGCAAAAAGCUGAUUGAGUGUCUUGGCAUACCCUGUUGUGUAACUCCUGUUCAUUUAAAUACUGGCUUUGUAUGUGUUAACUUUUAUGUGGUGCUUGUAUAUUAUAAUUUCUCAUUUUAGCAGUGAAAUGUCCCUCAGUCAGACACUGGCUGCUUGUUCCCGUUAGGACAUCUGGACUGGUAAUGCUGGCGCAUAAGCCACAUCAAGAUUAUUGCCCCAUCCUUCUCUCUCUUCUCCCCUACCACGAAAUGAAAAGCUCCUCUACCAUUCCUGGUGUCCUCGGCAAGACUGAUCCUUGUUGUCACCUCUGUCCCUCUACUGACAACCGUUGGGAUGUUUGGUUUUCUCUCUCUCUUCCCACUGAUCCUGCGCUCUCUCUCUUUUCAUCCUUUUCUUUCACUGAUCCUGUCUCGCUCCUUCUUCAGAAUUUUCUCUUCCUAUUCCCAUAACACGAUGUCAUGCCUAUCACACUCUCUCCUCUUUUCUCCCUUCUUCUAACAUCCAUCUGUAAUAUUCAGCUGUAUUCUACUUUAUUUAAUAAUGACAUGAUAGAAGGGGUCAGUGUUUGAGUUUGGAAAAACUGUGUCCCGUUGGGAACACAGAGAAAAGCAGAAAUACCAGAAUGGUUUUGGACAAUGGGGAAUCUGUGUCCAUGUGACCUGCAACUGCUCCCGCCACCUUUAACAUAUGCCCAAAACCCCAGUCUGUUACCAUGACACCUGUCCCAUUGCUUUCACAACAUAGCUGAGGUUUGACUGUCUGCAUCUCAAGUCUCCCUUCAGGAUUUAACUGUUGCUUUGCAUUGGCCUCAGUCUGUAUUUGUGUUGGAGUCGCUUUGCUUUCGAGAGCACAUAUACACACGCAUACACACAUACACACACUUUCCCAGGACUGUAAGCAGCUGGCAUGUGAAAAUAGUAUGUGAUCAAAUACAACAUUUCUUGGAGUCUGCAGUUGACAAACUAGGUGCCUGUAUAUUAGCCGUAGUAGUAUCUUCUUAUUGAAAAAGUCAGUUUUAUUUGCUUUAAAGUUAAUUGAAUCAUUUUGAAAUGUAUCCAUAUGCCUGAGAUCAAUUAACUGAGCAGUUUUAAAUAAGUGUUGUAAUAAAUGCUAAUGACUUUGUUUUAUUACAUAAGGUAGGCUAACUCCGAUUACUUUUGAGUUCACAAGCGUGGGGAUGUUGUGGAUUCAAACUUGUCCUUUUUUAAAUAUAUAUUCUUCCUAUUUCGUUUUUAUUUUGUAAGUUUUUUUCUUGUUUACAUCACUUUUAUUAUGCUUGCUGUGUAUUGACGGCUGAAGAAAGCAGUGGUAUUCUAACUUACUAUACUACCGGUAUGUGGUGUUAUAGUAUCAUACAGUAACCGCUGCAUGUUUGUCUUGAUGGAUUAAUACACACUGCAGUAUUUUCAGCCUGUGAAUAAUAUAGUGGCUUUAAUGUACCCUUUUGACAAAAGCAAACUGUCAUUGCGACCUUCACAAUUACCCUAUGGCUUGAGUUCUUAUUGGCUAGACUGCUCUCCCUUCUUUGAUGCAUAGCGUUGGCCUAUUGUUUACCGUGCACAGGUUACGUUUAAAAAGGGAAUAGUGACACAUGAUCAAAUGGUUAAAGGCUACUUUAACAUCAAGACAAAACUAACAUUUACGUUAUCAAAACAGCCUUGUCGACGCAACGCCACAUCUGUUGUCUUCAAAUUAGAUUUUCAACCUCUGAGACCAAGGGUAUGUUAGUGACUUGAUGGGCUCUUCAUUGCCCGCAAUAUAUAGCCUUUGAAUUAUAUGCUGGUGUUGAGAUUGUAUAGGACAAAUUAUUGUUGCUGUUUGAGAAAACAUAUUAAUCAUAGUAUUGGUGUGUAUUUAUGUGUGAACGCUUUAAUGGAAUAUGUUGCCUUCCAUACAUCAGACAGUUAAUUACAGGUGAACAUUGUCCAUUUUGACUAGGCCUUUUUUUGGACUACAAAACCCAUAGUUAGUGCUCCCUCAAGGACAAUUUCUUAAGUGUUCAACUAACUAAAUGUAAUCAUUUCCACAUUAUACUUAAGCGUAUUAAUGAUAUUUAUGGAUAUGAUAAGUGCGCUCAUCACAUAAGCGUUUGUAAUGUCCUUUGCAUUGAUUUGCCAUUCCUAACCAUGAAGCAUACUGUUAAGAAUACAAGCAACACUGAAAAAGAGGGAGAGAAACGACAAUGUUCAUCACGUAAUUCUGACAAUAUUGUUGUUAUAUUGUAAUGCUGGUUAUUUAUUUUACCUGUCUGUAAUUUAUAUUAUAUUGUGUGAACUUCCGUUUCCUAGGGCAGAAGUAAACUUCAUGGCAAACUCUAUGCAUCUUAGAAUGUAGGACUGCAUAAUAUUUACAAUUUCUUCUUGCAUUGUGAUGAUUGUUGCAUCAACACUUGUUGGUAUUCUCAAAUAAAGUUUUUCAUUUGUGAA
Coregonus clupeaformis (lake whitefish) is the source of this 4756-nucleotide RNA transcript. It is a transcript of the gene named kinesin light chain 1, with no coding region annotated. The record is from RefSeq and is a predicted model, not a curated record. NCBI's taxonomy places the organism in Eukaryota, Metazoa, Chordata, Actinopteri, Salmoniformes, Salmonidae. The transcript is spliced from 16 exons.